UCAAACUUGGUCAUUUAGAGGAAGUAAAAGUCGUAACAAGGUAACCGUAGGUGAACCUGCGGUUGGAUCAUUAAAAAAUCCUUCAGGGCUGAAGCCUGUGGCCUAGGCUGCAUGGCUUUGCCCGACACACACCUUUGUGAACCACAAACGUAUUUUGGUGAAGCCUCCGCGAGGGGAUCUCCUUCGCGUGUGGGAUGUUUGCUGGCGCCGACGCUUGAUUGCGCCGGGGACGGCACAUCCGUUCGCUUCACCGACCAACACCUGUUUUAACAUUUUGUUGUACAUAAUAAAGAGAAAUCAAUGAGAAACAACUUUAGACAACGGAUCUCUUGGCUCUCGCAUCGAUGAAGAACGCAGC
This 358-nucleotide unclassified non-coding RNA is filed under the name uncultured fungus. Its description in RNAcentral is "partial contains small subunit ribosomal RNA, internal transcribed spacer 1, and 5.8S ribosomal RNA". The stretch from base 1 to 73 matches the Rfam family "Eukaryotic small subunit ribosomal RNA", at positions 1759 to 1831 of the family's 1831-position model. Lineage: Eukaryota; Fungi. The record is from RNAcentral.